GGGGAUGUAGCUCAUACGGUAGAGCGCUCGCUUUGCAUACGAGAGGUACAGGGAUUGAUACCCUGUAUUUCCA
Molecule: transfer RNA, 73 nt
Organism: Ipomoea nil (Japanese morning glory)
Lineage: Eukaryota; Viridiplantae; Streptophyta; Magnoliopsida; Solanales; Convolvulaceae
Rfam family: tRNA
About the family: Transfer RNA (tRNA) molecules are approximately 80 nucleotides in length.
Source: Rfam